This 167-nucleotide unclassified non-coding RNA is filed under the name uncultured Tolypocladium. Its description in RNAcentral is "sequence contains ITS1". Lineage: Eukaryota; Fungi; Ascomycota; Sordariomycetes; Hypocreales; Clavicipitaceae. The record is from RNAcentral.
CCGAGUUUACCAACUCCCAAACCCCUGUGAACAUACCCGAACGUUGCCUCGGCGGGACCGCCCCGGCGCCCCCUCGCGGCCCGGACCCAGGCGCCCGCCGGAGGACCCAAACUCUUGCUUUGAACAGUGGAAUUCGCUCUCUGAGUCUCACAAACAAAAAUGAAUCA